AUGUUACAGCAGCAUAUACACUAAAACUGGAAUAGUACAGAAGAGUACAGCACUUGCGCAAGAAUGACAUGCAAAUUUGUGAAGUGUUCUGUAUUUGG
Molecule: small nuclear RNA, 98 nt
Filed under: Paramormyrops kingsleyae
Lineage: Eukaryota; Metazoa; Chordata; Actinopteri; Osteoglossiformes; Mormyridae
Source: RNAcentral